GUGAAAGAGAUCUUGGUUUUGCCUUUGCUGACUGCUGAUCUGAUCGUCUCAAGUCUGGUGACCUGUUGCAGAAGAUCCUCUCUCUCUAUCAUUAUAAGCAAUUCUGUCUAUCCUAUCACUCUCCCGACUCUAUCUAAUUUGACAGCCAUUCUAUCUUGUAUCCCUCUAUCCCUACUGCUCUAUCUAAUUGAC
Molecule: long non-coding RNA, 192 nt
Organism: Oreochromis niloticus (Nile tilapia)
Lineage: Eukaryota; Metazoa; Chordata; Actinopteri; Cichliformes; Cichlidae
Exons: 3
Source: RefSeq, a predicted model, not a curated record